Molecule: ribosomal RNA, 301 nt
Filed under: uncultured bacterium
Lineage: Bacteria
Description: partial 16S ribosomal RNA
Rfam family: Bacterial small subunit ribosomal RNA
Source: RNAcentral
CAGCAGCCGCGGUAAUACGUAGGUGGCAAGCGUUGUCCGGAAUUAUUGGGCGUAAAGGGCUCGCAGGCGGUUUCUUAAGUCUGAUGUGAAAGCCCCCGGCUCAACCGGGGAGGGUCAUUGGAAACUGGGAAACUUGAGUGCAGAAGAGGAGAGUGGAAUUCCACGUGUAGCGGUGAAAUGCGUAGAGAUGUGGAGGAACACCAGUGGCGAAGGCGACUCUCUGGUCUGUAGCUGACGCUGAGGAGCGAAAGCGUGGGGAGCGAACAGGAUUAGAGACCCCCGUAGUCCCUGUCUCUUAUAC